CAGUCGCCGCGGUAAUACGUAGGUGGCAAGCGUUGUCCGGAAUUAUUGGGCGUAAAGGGCUCGCAGGCGGUUCUAUAAGACAGAUGUGAAAUCCCCGGGCUCAACCUGGGAACUGCAUUUGUGACUGUAGAGCUGGAGUGCGGCAGAGGGGGAUGGAAUUCCGCGUGUAGCAGUGAAAUGCGUAGAUAUGCGGAGGAACACCGAUGGCGAAGGCAAUCCACUGGGCCUGCACUGACGCUCAUGCACGAAAGCGUGGGGAGCAAACAGGAUUAGAUACCCCCGUAGUCCCUGUCUCUUAUAC
This 301-nucleotide ribosomal RNA is filed under the name uncultured bacterium. RNAcentral's name for it is "partial 16S ribosomal RNA". It matches the Rfam family "Bacterial small subunit ribosomal RNA", at positions 509 to 807 of the family's 1533-position model. The record is from RNAcentral.